This 100-nucleotide non-coding RNA is filed under the name Roseovarius sp. RNAcentral's name for it is "TPP sequence". It matches the Rfam family "TPP riboswitch aptamer (THI element)". Rfam says of the family: Vitamin B(1) in its active form thiamin pyrophosphate (TPP) is an essential coenzyme that is synthesised by coupling of pyrimidine and thiazole moieties in bacteria. The previously detected thiamin-regulatory element, thi box was extended, resulting in a new, highly conserved RNA secondary structure, the THI element, which is widely distributed in eubacteria and also occurs in some archaea. Lineage: Bacteria; Pseudomonadati; Pseudomonadota; Alphaproteobacteria; Rhodobacterales; Roseobacteraceae. The record is from RNAcentral.
ACAUAUCCGUUGGGGUGCCCGCUUGGGCUGAGAGGCGAAGAGCCAACCCAUCGAACCUGAUCCGGCUUGCACCGGCGGAGGGAACGGAGACCGCGCAGCC